This 84-nucleotide ribosomal RNA is filed under the name Kosakonia radicincitans. Its description in RNAcentral is "23S rRNA. Bacterial LSU". It matches the Rfam family "Bacterial large subunit ribosomal RNA", at positions 2843 to 2925 of the family's 2925-position model. The record is from RNAcentral. Lineage: Bacteria; Pseudomonadati; Pseudomonadota; Gammaproteobacteria; Enterobacterales; Enterobacteriaceae.
GACGACGACGUUGAUAGGCCGGGUGUGUAAGCGCAGCGAUGCGUUGAGCUAACCGGUACUAAUGAACCGUGAGGCUUAACCUUA